Long non-coding RNA from Chinchilla lanigera (long-tailed chinchilla), 1122 nucleotides. RefSeq lists it as uncharacterized. NCBI's taxonomy places the organism in Eukaryota, Metazoa, Chordata, Mammalia, Rodentia, Chinchillidae. The transcript is spliced from 6 exons. The record is from RefSeq and is a predicted model, not a curated record.
AGAAGAGGGUACAGCUAAGGCUUCAUCCUGCUUUCCAAGGCUGAGAGGAAAGGAGCAGCAAAGCCACCGCUCCUGGCAGGUGCUGCUUCUGGGGAACCCCACCCCAGACUACGACUCUUCACAAGGGAGGCUUCUGGUACCCACAGCCACUGGAAAAUGCUGGGCAUUUGCUCCCAGCUCCCAUGUGUGUCUGUCACACAGAAGACAGGUCUCUGUGUCUGGCUGUCAGUUUGGUGGUGUGCCUCUAAGAUCCCUUCCUCCCUCCAGACACACCAGGAGUGACCCGUGACCUGGAAGAGAGGCCUCUUAGCUGAUUUAGAAUUCAGGUAAACUUGCCUUCAAAGUUUAUUAAUAGCCGAUACUCUUCACUGAUUCCUAACUGGAGUGUGCACUGGCACCACCAAGGGAGCAGAGAUUCCAUGUACAGCUGUGCUGGUUGCACACUGCACACAAGACCUGGCUGAGGUACUGUUCAUGGUCCAUGAAGAGGUCAGCCUGGAAGCAAGGAUAAGGACCAACUGCUAAGAAGAAUACUGAGUGUUUGGGGGGAAGAAAACAGCAUCCCAGAAACUCAAUUUGUGAUUAUUCAAGGAUUUUUUUUCACAAAGUGACUUAGUUCAAAUCUUAGUUUUACCAUUUACCAAGUAGUAUCUCAAGACCCUUUCUGUAAAAUAUGGAGUAAUUCCUACUGCAUCUUUCUAUAUGGAUUAAAGGAUCCAUAUAUUAAAGGAUUAAGAAUCCUUUCUAUAAAAGAUUACUGUGGGGCUGCCGCCAUGGUUCUUAUUGUUCAACUUUUCUUUGUUCUAACACCUACAUAACUGGUAGAUGUAAGCAUUUAGCUGUAGCAAGCACCAUCAAAGUAAGACCUUCAACCCAAGUGCACUGCCUGAAAAUGAAGGUGACAGCGAAUGUUCACAGGCACAUUUUGCUAGGAUGAACCGAUUUAUGCUUCUCAACAACCAUACAAGGCAAGUGUUACGACGAUUCUGUUUUUCAAAUAAGGAUACAGAGGCCCACUGAGCAUAAAGGAACUUGUUCAAGGUCACACAGCAACUUUGCCAAAGAGUGAGCAGUCAGGUUUGGCAGUCUGAUGUCAGAAUGCAAGCUCCCUCACUGGUUCUG